GAAGAAAGCUGAAAACACACUGAGGAUUAUGGGAGAGGGGCAAGUGCAUGAAGCUUCUCAAUGACAUACAGACACUCUAAAAGCUCAAGAGAUCAAUUAUUCAACUUCAAGAACUGAAAUUUGAACACAGAUUUUGAGCUUCCAAAUCAGCAGCUACACAGGGAUAUUCAUCCAAGCAGAAAGAUAAUACCAGAGUUCCGA
Molecule: long non-coding RNA, 201 nt
Filed under: Homo sapiens (human)
Lineage: Eukaryota; Metazoa; Chordata; Mammalia; Primates; Hominidae
Description: HSALNT0307777
Source: RNAcentral